GAGAUGGUUGGGGGAAGUUUUGUGAAGCCUUAACUUGUAGUAAUUAUCCAAAGUAAGAAAGCCAUGUGGUUUGGGUUUUGUCCAUCUAGGUCUUCCUAUAUGAAGACACAGAUUUUAAAACAUUUU
Long non-coding RNA from Nanorana parkeri, 126 nucleotides. RefSeq lists it as uncharacterized. The record is from RefSeq and is a predicted model, not a curated record. The transcript has 3 exons. Lineage: Eukaryota; Metazoa; Chordata; Amphibia; Anura; Dicroglossidae.